UCCUUCCUGAAAUUGGGUGAGACUACCCGCUGAAUUUAAGCAUAUAAUUAAGCGGUGGAAAAGAAAAUAACUAUGAUUCU
RNAcentral lists this ribosomal RNA (80 nucleotides) under Cytauxzoon felis. RNAcentral's name for it is "partial large subunit ribosomal RNA". It matches the Rfam family "Eukaryotic large subunit ribosomal RNA", at positions 1 to 78 of the family's 3401-position model. The record is from RNAcentral. Lineage: Eukaryota; Apicomplexa; Aconoidasida; Piroplasmida; Theileriidae.